Long non-coding RNA from Homalodisca vitripennis (glassy-winged sharpshooter), 3619 nucleotides. RefSeq lists it as uncharacterized. The transcript is spliced from 3 exons. The record is from RefSeq and is a predicted model, not a curated record. Lineage: Eukaryota; Metazoa; Arthropoda; Insecta; Hemiptera; Cicadellidae.
CUUUUUUUUAAUAUACCUGUUUUACUUAUUAUUUCAAAAGCAUCAAAAUGUAUGGCCAACAAUUCUUGGAGUAAUCAACAAUUUGUAAGUCCUUGUAAACCAUGGAAAUAAAUAUUCAGAAUGGAAGUAUUUUAUUCUCCACUGCUGUCAAAUAGUGGUGGGGGCGAUAUCGUGAAGGGGGGAGAUUCAAUUUACAAAAAUAACCUCGAUAAGAGAGCUUAUCAGAAAAUUACAAUCACGAACUGGAGUACUACUCCCACUGUUUCUCCAUUCUUUCAUGCAGCCGUAGAGUCGGAACUGUUUCUCGGUGAGUGUUCCAGUAGUAAAUAUAGCCAAGCCCGACUUUGGUAACAACGAGGAAAAAGGAAAACGUGAGAAGUUUUCCAACAGUUUCGCUUUUACCCAGCGCCGGUCGUUUCUUAUGGCGAAAGCUGCUGUGUUUUCUUUUACGACCUUAACGAUUGCCAACGCUUAUUUCACGAAUGUCAUUGUAGUUCUCGGAAUUUUCAGUACGCAUGUCAUUUUUGUUAACGUAAAAGUUGUACAAAAAGCUGCAGACCUUCUAAAAGGUGAUUUAGAAACUUUGAAUUCAAGUAAAGAAAAUAUAGUUAUUUUUGCAUGGCAACAUUUUAAUGUAGACUGAAUUAUACCAAAAUGCAGCUCAAGGUCUCUAUACCCGUACGAGGUUAUCUAGAUCAUUGUAUUUUAUCGUUUCCAUUCUAUAAGAUAUAUCGAGAAAGGUCUAUAUGCAAAGACAUAUGGAUCGCCAUGAUGUCCAUGAUUUCAGUUACACCUUUUAAGGAGAUGCAUUUAAACCAUUAUUAAUAGCUCAAACUAAACCAUUUAAUUAGUCUAAACAAUAAAACUUACAUUUUGAUAUUUAAAUUUGCAUUCCACCCAGAGACCUCUAUCAACACAUAAAAGCUAUGGUAUGUAUUGUUCAUUAAAUUUCAAUGUUGAAUUUAGUUCCAACCUCCCUUUUAUUGCAGCGUCUGGUAUCUGACGCUGUUUCAGACUUAGCUCCUGGAAUCUGGAGUCAUGUUCAUCAGAAGAAAACCAUCAAAAGUUGGCGACAAAGAACCUCUAAACGAACCUUUACAUCGUUCCGACAUCAGAGACACCUAUAAAUAGGUGGUGAUUUUCGUUGGAUCUCUUCCGACGAACUUGGAGCUAAAUUUCACAUUCAAACCUCUAUCAAGGUUAUCUUCUCGUUGCUUUGACUUAACUCCUGAUACAGUUCAACGUGAAACGCUACUGUAGGUGAGAGGCAGGUCAGUGACUGUUCGGGGAAGGGUUGGCACGAUGCCGAUCUCAUGAGUGCCUGGCACUUGGCCGACACCUGCCAGUCGUCUCUGCUGUACGGGGUCUCUGAUCUGAAAAUGACUUCAAGAGUUUAUUUUGAGCUUCUUUGUCGCCGACUGGUAUCUCGUCAGAUGAACAUGACUCCAGAUUCCAGGAAUCAAGCCUGUGACAUAGUUGGAUUCCAGACGCUGCGAUAACAACAGGAAGGUGAAUUGAAGCCAAACUGAACAUCUAUUCGUAUGUCACGAAGACAAUGUUGAGGGUUAGGAUAGUUUUAUUUACAUGCUGUGUAAUUAUUGGUCAAUAAAAUUAAAACAAAAUCCGUUAUUAGACCACUUAGUCCGUAAAACAUUUUUUUAAGAAUUACAUAUUAUUUGAGUUCCAAAUAGAACCAGGCGAUAUUAGAGAGCAAAUUCUCCACUAUGUUACAAGAGAAAUUCGUUCUAUUGCCACUAAAACCCGUUACGUCACCUUCCAUGAUAAAUUACGAUAAUAAUUUACCUUGUCAAAUACCUUGUCUGACAAAAGUGAUCAGACCUGGCAGUGAUAUAUAUGCGAGUAAAGGUUCUCGAGAGGUUACUAAAACUACGAUAACCUCAUCAACUGUAUUACUUCGGGAUUUGAGGCCAAUGAGGUGACAGUCUGAUUUGGUCACAGAGAUAACCUUUGGUGCCAAAGUGGGUUUCUUUGAUACCAGUCUCUGCUGAGAACAUUUGUAUCACUGUGGACUUUAUCACUUAUUGCCAUUAUGUUGCUUUAUGUUGUUUUUCAGGCAGUGUUAAUUGGUUUCCCCUCUGAUCUGCAUGAUAACCCUCCAACACAAGGAAGAGUCUUUAUACAUAAUAUAAAACUUAUGUGUUGUUUAUUUUUGUAAGUCAUCCAUCAGAGCAAUUAGAAAAUGGUGAUGGAGAAAAAUGAUAGUUUUCAAAAAUGACGAGUUCAUCUAGUUGGCUGAGCGUUAACAAAGCCUAUCAACGGGAAGAAUUUUACUUCUGUUACCGAUAUCUGAAGCGACAUUUUGAACGAACUUUCAAUUUUAAACAGGCAGUAUUGAGUUCAAUUAUGGCCAUUUUCCCUCGUUUGAUUCUUCUAAGCGUUAGUGAAGUCAAACUUUCCGUAAUGCGUUGGCAACAUUACUUAUCUGUCUUCCUAAAGAAAUAUUGAAAAAGAAAUGUGUUAAAGACUUCAAAUGCUGUAUGAACCUUCAUUUUUACGUAGGCAAGAUCUAGUUUGAAUAUGAUGCAUAUCCUUACCAUCAGAUCUGGCUGAGAGUCAGCGAAGCCUCUCUAUUAAUCACCCAGAUAUCUCGAGAGAUGGUUUACGUGAAAGUUAACUUCUACACAACCAAAGCAAGUUCUUUCAUAUGCACCUCAAUGUGAUUUUCACAGGAGGAUGUUGCAUUGGCAAAAUAUAACACGGAAGGGGAUGAAUCGAGAAAGAAUCAUGCCAUGGACUUAAAUCGAGGAUGAAAAUUAAUUUCUACAUAGACAAGAUCGAUGACCCUUCAGUGGGGAUGUUCUUUUCAUGACUUCAGCAAGAGGUCCGGUGGGUAGGGGAGGGGAUAACAGUUCGUCUGGCAUUAUUACAGGUAAGUUUCAGUACUUUUGAGCGUUAGCUACAUCCAGGCAGCUUUUCAAAUAAUGCUAUGCGCAUCUGAGCCCACCAGAUAUUGUUCACAUAACUCCCGAAACCUGUUACGAUCAUUAUUAUUAAAAUUUAAUUUUCUAAUGAUUACUCUUAAGAUAGGUUCAGAUGAAUUUGGUUAAAUUGGGCGGGAUUGGUUAGACUGAUAUAAUAAUUUUUGCACUCCAAACUUAUACAGACAGGCAGCCGCAAGUUCCUAGUUUAACCUUCAACAGGUGAACAAUAGCCUUUGUCUUCAACCAACACCGAUGAGACAUAGCACGAUAAGAAACAUGAGAUCGGCGCGGAUCGUCCAGCGUGUGGCUAACAAUGGAGUUAGUUGCUAACAUCAUCGCAAAAAGAAUUCUCUUACAGCAAAGCAGAAGUUUUUCAUGUCAGAAUUUUACCGUGCCCAUGACUCAGGUAAGGUAUAAAGUGCUGCAGUGUAGCGGGUAAGGCGGUUAUCUCAAGAUAACGUAAUCAAGAAACGUCGAGCGUGGCUGCUGCUUGGAUGGGUGGUCGCUGAGCGAUCCUGUCCUUGCAAGCAGCCCGCCUGCCCGGCCAUUAGUGGUGGUUUGGAAGUCACCUUUAGGCCGUUGCUCCCCAGGUUAAGUGUUAGAGAGAGCCUCUUCGCCCUAACUUCGCCUGGAUAAAAAUGCAUUCUUUGAUUUUCACAGUCCGUAAAGAAUCUUAG